RNAcentral lists this ribosomal RNA (465 nucleotides) under Vreelandella stevensii. RNAcentral's name for it is "partial 16S ribosomal RNA". It matches the Rfam family "Bacterial small subunit ribosomal RNA", at positions 338 to 795 of the family's 1533-position model. The record is from RNAcentral. Lineage: Bacteria; Pseudomonadati; Pseudomonadota; Gammaproteobacteria; Oceanospirillales; Halomonadaceae.
CCUACGGGGUGCUGCAGUGGGGAAUAUUGGACAAUGGGCGAAAGCCUGAUCCAGCCAUGCCGCGUGUGUGAAGAAGGCCUUCGGGUUGUAAAGCACUUUCAGUGGGGAAGAAAGCCUUGGGGCUAAUACCCUCGAGGAAGGACAUCACCCACAGAAGAAGCACCGGCUAACUCCGUGCCAGCAGCCGCGGUAAUACGGAGGGUGCGAGCGUUAAUCGGAAUUACUGGGCGUAAAGCGCGCGUAGGCGGUCUGAUAAGCCGGUUGUGAAAGCCCCGGGCUCAACCUGGGAACGGCAUCCGGAACUGUCAGGCUAGAGUGCAGGAGAGGAAGGUAGAAGUCCCGGUGUAGCGGUGAAAUGCGUAGAGAUCGGGAGGAAUACCAGUGGCGAAGGCGGCCUUCUGGACUGACACUGACGCUGAGGUGCGAAAGCGUGGGUAGCAAACAGGAUUAGAUACCCGGGUAGUC